Molecule: non-coding RNA, 21956 nt
Organism: Podarcis lilfordi (Lilford's wall lizard)
Lineage: Eukaryota; Metazoa; Chordata; Lepidosauria; Squamata; Lacertidae
Source: the annotation of a GenBank genome assembly
GUUCUCUGUCCAUCUCCCCUUCUCCUUGUGCCCUCCAUCUUUCCCAGCAUCAGGGUCUUUUCCAGGGAGUCUUCUCUUCUCAUGAGGUGGCCAAAGUAUUGGAGCCUCAGCUUCACGAUCUGUCCUUCCAGUGAGCACUCACGGCUGAUUUCCUUAAGAAUGGAUGCGUUUGAUCUUCUUGAAGUCCAUGGGACUCUCAAGAGUCUCCUCCAGCACCAUAAUUCAAAAGCAUCAAUUCUUCGGCGACCAGCCUUCUUGAUGGUCCAGCUCUCACUUCCAUACAUCACUACUGGGAAAACCAUGGCUUUAACUAUACGGACCUUUGUUGGCAAGGUGAUGUCUCGGCUGUUUAAGAUGCUGCCUAGGUUUGCCAUCACCUUUCUCCCAAGGAGCAGGCGUCUUUUAAUUUCGUGACUGCUGUCACCAUCUACAGUGAUCAUGGAGCCCAAGAAAGUAAAAUCUCUCACUGCCUCCAUUUCUUCCCCUUCUAUUUGCCAGGAGGUGAUGGGCCCACUAGAGAAUAACAUUUAUAUGAGAUUUGUGCAGGCUUUGGAGUAUUGCACACCGCUUAGGAAGCUGUCUUAUUCUAGCAGGAAAGAGUAUUUGCCUACCUUGGCGGCUGCCAGGAGAUUGGUUUGCUUGAGUUCUCCCAGCUCCUACGCCACCUGGUUGGCAAUCUGUGUGUGUUUGGCUUGUGAGAAUGCAAGUUGUGUGGGCUUGCUGCGCCCUGGUUUAAGCGCACUUAGUGGACCAUCACUUUCCCCAUUUUUUUGUUUUUAUGAAAAAGGCUCUGCCUGCUGUCACAUCCCUGCUGUAUCUCAGAGGAAAGAGCAGCCAGCUUCAAUGCGCCUCACAGUGAUGAGUGAAGAAGAGUCUUUUUCAUGAAGUGUGCUGCGAGAUGCCAGGAGCACAGCUAAACCACUUUCGCUCAGCUUUCCGUGCUCUCAGUAGUGGCUCAACCACAGCCUUGCCUUGAACACAGACUUUUUGUUUUUAACAACCAGGGUGGGGUGGAAAUAUUUGCUUUCCAUUGCAGACAUCUUUCUUAACUCCCUGGAAAGAGAAGCUGGAGGAAUUCUUUUUCAGUGAAUUUUGAUGGCCUGAUCACAAACUCCUGGGCUCUUAUCUCCUGGGCAACGGUCCUUUGGAUUUUGCACUUCUCCAAAUUUUGCAACUGAUUUACAACUCCCCCCAAAAGACCAAAAAUGUUUGGAAGUGUUUGCAUUGGGAUAAUAUUUUGUGAUAAAAUAUUUAUUCAUAAGUAUUUAAAUGCGAAUCCUCAAUGUUUUUGCAGAUUUAAUAAAACAGAUUAAUGAGGAAACAGGACAAAAAGGAGCUAACAAACCCAAGGUUCACAUGUGACAUGGAAUGAACUGAUCAACCCGUCCCUACGCCUGCACAAUACCUCUCUUCCCCUCCAACUUUAUACUGGAUACAACAUACAUUGAACGUAAUUAAUCUAUAGAAAAGUGACAAAGUUUGAGGAAGAGUGGAGUAAAUUCGUUGCGUACAUACGAAAUAACUGCAGAAGUUUAAAAGUUGUAGCAGGGCUGACAUAAAUCUAGUGAUGUAUAUAGAAUGUAAUUAAGAAACUGCAAGAGUGGAUGUAAGGUGGGAAAACCGAAGCAGGGAAGGAGGGAAGUCCGGGCACAAAACUGCGCAAAGUAAAUAAGAAGACGAAAAAGGUCGAUUGUAAAAGGCAAGUUUUAUUUAAUUUUGUUAUGUUUUAUUUAAUUUUGUUAUGCUUGUGAAAAUCAAUAAAAAGUAUUUUUUUUAAAAAAUCUAUAGAAAAGACUGUACAUUGCGGGGUGGUGUGUGUGAGAGAGAGAGAGAGAGAUUGCACGUUCUUAUGUAAUCCAAGAAUUUUUUAAAUAAAAAUUAUUUCAAACAAAAUAAAGAGAACGUGUUAGCUGCCUUCCCUGGAUGAGAUGACAAGUCCGUCUAGUCCAUCCUCUCUCUCCCGUCUCACAAGUCAGAUGUGCUUCCAACUCUUGCAAGCCAGACCAUGCAAACAUCCAGACCGCUGGGGUGUCUUUGCACCUUGUAGGUCAGGAAAUAUUGUCAGUUACCAGAGCUAGGUGGAAACCUGUGCUUCCUCCCCAUACUGUGUUCAUUGUUCUCUGAGCCUCGAAACCCUCCUCAUGCCCAGUCAGUUUUCCUCCCUCUUGCAUGGGGGCCUGAAAGCCUCGAUUCACCUGGUGAUGUGCAGCCUUGAGUGGCAUUUAUCUUGCAGUGGCUGCAGCCUCCUCAUCCCACAGGAAGAGAUGUCGAUGCUGAUCAGUCACAUCCAUUUUUUACCCCCAGCAAAGGCCUUUUCCCAUUCUCCUCUCCCCCCCUUUUGCUCAGGAUUUGAAGAAGGCCAUCGGACUGAACUUGUGCUGUAUCCCUUCGCCACAAGCCCACCAGCCCCUCAUUAGUAUUCUCCACAUUACACACCGGCUAAAUCUGCCCUUGCGUUUCGAUCACUGCUGUUUGCAAUUACAUGCGCGCACCAGCGAAUGUGAGCAUGGCUUGUGUGCUUUGCCUUUCUGCCUUUGAUUGCGGAGAAUUAUAUGUUGCACAGUUGUGUGUGAGGCCGAAUAAUUGUAUAUGGUUUUGCGCAGAUGAUCCCUGUGUAAACAUAUGUAGGUACAUAGCCCACUGAUGUUGGUGUAUAAUUUUCAUGUGUAAUUGGAAUGCAUGCAAUCUAUGGAAAGCAUGAUGUAUCAAAUUAAGAGUCGUUACCAAGAUUAGAUGAUGGGGGGGGGCCGCAGUGCAGAAGUAGGUGAAGGGAGGCAGAAAGUCUUGAGCUUAAACUCUGGCAUCUUGAAAGGGUAGGACAUCAGCUAGCAAGGCUAGCAAAGACCCUUCAAGGAGACUUGGACUAUGGCGGGUCUGUGCCAAUACCAGAGUCAGCAAUUCUGGGCUGGAGAGACCAAUCGCCUGACACUAUAAGGGAGAUUCAUGGGUCUAUUUCUGGAUGAGAGUGCAUUUGGUGGCAGCUCGUGUUGCCUCUGGAGAGCUGUGUCCAGUUCUGGGUGAAGUGUUGGUCAGCUGGAGUGGACUUAGAGGAGGGCAACGAGGAAUGGCGAGAACUUUGCAGAAGUGGCCAGGGAGGCAGUGCAGGUCAAUCUCAGUUGUUCUCCUGGCUUUCCAACACAACACUGAAGGAGAGGAGAUAUUAUUGUUAUUUUAUUUAUACCCUGCCCAUCUGGCUGGGUUUCCCCAGCUACUAUGAGCGGCUCCCAACAGAAUAUUAAAAACAUAAUAAAACAUCAAACAUUAAAAACUUCCCUAAACAGGGUUGCCUUCAGAUGUCUUCUAAAAGUCAGAUAGUUCUUUGUUUCCUUGACAUCUGGUGGGAGGGCGUUCCACAGGGCGGGUGCCACUACCGAGAAGGCCCUCUGCCUGGUUCCCUGUAACUUCACUUCUCGCAGUGGGGGAACUGCCAGAAGGCCCUCGGAGCUGGACCUCAGUGUCUGGGCUGAACGAUGGGGGUGGAGACGCUCCUUCAGGUGUACUGGGCUGAGGCCGUUUAGGGCUUUAAAGGUGAGUAUCAACACUUUGAAUUGUGCUCAGAAACGUCCUGAGAUAGAGAGAAGUCGUGAUUCCAGCUGGCCUUUUGGAGAAACCUCCCAAGAGCAUAGGCUAAUCCACUCUUCCAUUUGUCCUAUUAUUUCUAAACUUAGAGGUUUUUACUUUUUUCAGUUUACUGCUGAGUCGGAAGAAGCGUCAAUCCACAAGCAUUUUGUUCUGAUUCAGCAGGAAACAUCCUGGGGAAAGCAGCAGGCUGAACGAAAACUGUCUUGGAUCCAUGGACAGUUCCAAGAUCCCUUCCAACUCUAUAAAGUCUGGUUAGAAUAAUCCACAGAUGUAACAGGUUGGGGCCAAUGAGAGCUGUACUCCUACAAUGUCUGGAAGGGCACGUUGACUAUUUCUGGCGGAGCUUGUGUACUGUAUUUGGUAUAAUGCAGCUCGCUCUGUUUCCAACCGUCUGGAGUGAAAUAAAUGUGGCAUUUAACCUUCACAUCUAACAUCUGGCAGAAUCAAAUUUUACUAUACAGUUGUACUUUGGUUUUUAAACAGAAUGUGUUCCGGAAGUCCAUUUGACUUCAGAAACAUUCAGAAACGAAGGCGCGGCUUCCGAUUGGCUGCAGGAGCCAAUUGGAAGUCGCACCAGACAUUCAGCUUCCAAGGCAGAGUUUGCGAACCAGAACACCUACUUCCAGGUUUGCGAUGUUCGAGUUCCGAGUUGUUCAUGAACUAAGCUGUUCGAAAACCAAGGUACGACUGUACUCAGUCACAGCUACCUGUUAAACAGGAGAUAAAACAUUGCAGUUGUGCAAUCACUAAUAUAAUGAAUUGUAUAGCAUCUAGAUCAAGGGAAGUAAUAGUGCCACUGUAUUCUGCUCUGGUCUGACCUCACCUGGAGUACUGUGUCCAGUUCUGGGCACCACAGUUCAAGAAGGACACUGACAAACUGGAACGUGUCCAGAGGAGGGCAACCAAAAUGGUCAAACGAUGCCUUAUGAGGAACGGCUAAGGGAGCUGGGCAUGUUUAGCCUGGAGAAGAGGAGGUUAAGGGGUGAUAUGAUAGCCAUGUUCAAAUAUAUAAAAGGAUGUCACAUAGAGGAGGGAGAAAGGUUGUUUUCUGCUGCUCCAGAGAAGCGGACACAGAGCAAUGGAUCCAAACUACAAGAAAGAAGAUUCCACCUAAACAUUAGGAAGAACUUCCUGACAGUAAGAGCUGUUCGACAGUGGAAUUUGCUGCCAAGGAGUGUGGUGGAGUCUCCUUCUUUGGAGGUCUUUAAGCAGAGGCUUGACAACCAUAUGUCAGGAGUGCUCUGAUGGUGUUUCCUGCUUGGCAGGGGGUUGGACUCGAGGGCCCUUGUGGUCUCUUCCAACUCUAUGAUUCUAUGAUUCUAUAAAAUGAGCUAAUAUGGGAGAUACAAAAUAAUAAUUAAAAAAGCAGAACUGCACUUAAACAUAGAGAAUCUCUUUGUGAAUCUUUGCAAUUGGUUGAUAAGAGAAAAUAAGAUGGUAAUCUGGUUAUUCUUUUGACCAUAUCAGCCAGAAAGCCGGAUCCCAUACAAAAGUCUUUCCUGGGUGUUUUAGUAAGCCAGGAGUGAAUUAUCUAUUUUGCUCUUUUCUGGAAAUGUUUCCUAUAGAAAGGGAAGGCAUUAAAGCUUCUGUCCCCGCAGAGACAAAACCAUUCUUUAUAGGAAAUGCAGGAGGUGGAGUAACAGCCACCCAGCACAGUGGAAGGAAAGCAAUUAAAUCUUGCUCCACAAAGAUCAGUGGAUAUUUUGGAACAGUCAGGUUAUCCGAAUAAUUGGCAUGGCCUUUUAAAAAGUCAAUAGACAACCCAGGAUGAAUUGGAGAGCAAGUUUUACAAGCCGCAGUCAGAGUGCUGUACAUCAAUAUCCUUAAUCCAAAGAUUAAGCAUGGAUUUUUUCCUGACCAUGACCCCACCUCCCAUGCGCCAAUUUUGACCGGUGGGUGGGACAACCUGACUGUCAAUCAGAGAAAACCGAGGAGCGAUAGCAUAGCCGUCUUCAAACAUCUGAAGGGUUGUCACAUGGAUGAUGGAGCAAGCUUGUUGAACAGUGGAACAAGCUAUUUCAGAUAGCCUCUCCUUUGGAGCUCUUUAAGUAGAAGUUAGGUGUUGGUGUAAUUUAGAAAUAUGGGUGGAAUUAUUCCUAAAUUCUUGGGUGAUGUCUUGAGCAGCCCAUCCCUCCCCAACUGGAUUCUGUUCAGCAAAAAGACCCAACUGCACGGGUGUCAGGAAUAAAUCGCAGGGAGUGUUGGGAUGCUGCCGGGAGACGGGGGCAAUUGGCAGGCCCCCAGCUGGCUCCAGCCACCGGCCGGCAGUCGGGCGAAACUCCGGAUUUCGGAACAGCAUCAAAACUGCGACUCAAGCCUCAGAAACCUUUAGAGACCGAGCACGCAAUCCAGCAGAGAUAAGAACUCUUUGCAGCAGAAGUAGCGGACAGAGACAUGUGUAAGCAUAUUUACAGCAUUUAUUCAGCAGCAGGACAAAGGAAAAACAUGUCUGCUUCCCUUCGUGUUCAAGCAAAACAGCAGCAAAGCAAAAGCAACAUACAAUGGAAGUUCCCAGCAGACUGUGCUGGAAGUAAACAGACAUGUGACAUACAACAACUCCACAUGCCUGUUCUAAAGGUGGAACGGAACUGUAUCCUAACAGGGAGUAGGUGAACUCUUUGUUAGUAGAAACAUGGUCAGCUCAGGAGCGCCAGGCUUCACGAGUAUCUCAACUCUUCUCGGUAGGUCUUGCCCCUAUGAGGCAGUUGUGGAGACUGAAGUUCCCUGCCUCCCCAGAGCUGCCUAGGUCUUCUCUUCUCCAGAGCCCUUCCCAAGCAGUCUGAGACUCUGUUGACAUUCUUGUCUCUGCUCCCCCCCUCUUCAUACCUCUUCUGGUCCUGAGAGACCAGCGGGGAGGGGAGCUGGUUGCAGCAGGAGGGGAAGACUCCCUGGCUUCUUCAGCUGCCUGACUCAUCUCUGCUUCUUGGCCUCCCUCCUCUCUGGAUUUGUGUAGGGUUUACUCCUUAGCCUAUAGAUUAAUCCAGUCACGAGGGCCUAACAUCUUACCUAGACUGGCCCUUUGACAUAUAGAGAUUAGUUCCGUUUUUCUCAAUGUCGCUUGUAGGGAAGAUCAAGGGUGGUCAACAAGGUGACUUCAAUAUGGACUACAACUCCCAGCAACUGCAGCCAACCUGGCCUGUAGUCAGGGAUGAUGGGAUUUGUAGUCCUACAACAUCUGGCACGUUGCAUAGCCCAGUGCAGCUUUCAACCUUACGCUGGGCAAGUUAUAGGAAUAUCCCAGCAAUAAUGUUGGCUGCCGUUCUUCCAUGCGAAGGAGACGGGGAGAAUCUGGAGGAAAGGCAAACCUCGCUGGUAAGAGGACGGUGCCUUUUUAUUUUUAUUUUUUGAGAAACAGCUCUUUAAAUGGCAUUUGCAUUUGUAGAAACUCAGGCACCGCAAGCGAAGUAGCUUCCAAAUGAGGCGAGAUGCUUCAUUGAAUGUCAUUUCUCCGUGAUAAUUCCAAUUGCUGUUUGGUACAUGUCAUUAGCUGUCAGUAAUAAAUUUACAUAGCGGUGGGGGGGGAUGACAAAUGACAACUGCCGAUGCAGGUGGCACGCCAACAGGGGCAGAAAUUAAUACGUGUGUGUGUGUGUGUGUGUGUGUGUGUCUGUCUGUCUGUCUUCUGAAUGCAGAUAUGACAUCAAAGCGGAGUUGGAGUGGAAAUUAAACUGUAGGGUUGGUUUCUCUGGGUUUUUCCUGCCGUGCUGAAAAAGGCUUCUCCCCUUUCAAGCUACUUUCGCACUGCUUGAGAAAACAUUUGCCUGCUUGCUUGGACCACCGCCUUGCCAACGUGGGGAUCCAGGGCACAGUCCUUCAAUGGCUGCGCUCGUUUCUCUCCGGUCGGGGACAGAGGGUGGCGCUUGGGGGGGAAUUGUCAUCGCGCCACUCCUUGGUGUGUGGAGUCCCUCAGGGUGCGAUUCUCCCCCUGAUGCUUUUCAACAUCUUUAUGCGCCCCCUCGCCCAGCUUGUCCGGAGUUUUGGGCUGGGUUGCCAUCAGUAUGCUGAUGACACCCAACUCUAUCUGUUGAUGGAUGGCCAUCCUGACUCGGCCCCAGACACACUGACCAGAUGUUUGGAAGCUGUGGGUGGAUGGUUAUGUGGGAGCCGGUUGAAGCUAAAUCCUUCGAAGACAGAGGUCCUGUGGCUGGGACGGGACGAUAUGGGAUUGGGGGGGCAACUCCCAUCUCUUGCGGGGGCGCAAUUAGUGCCAGCACCGUCCGUUAAGAGUUUGGGUGUAAUCUUCGACACCUCUCUUUCCAUGGAGGCGCAGAUUGCAGCUACAACAAAGGCGGCAUUUUUCCAUCUCCGCCAAACUAAGCAGUUGGCUCCUUACCUCUCUCGCCCUGACCUAGCCACUGUGAUCCAUGCGACGGUCACCUCCAGACUGGAUUAUUGUAACUCGCUCUACGUGGGGCUGCCCUUGAGACUGACCCAGAAACUCCAGCGGGUGCAGAAUGCCGCGGCGAGACUCCUUACGGGGUCUUCGCUGUGAGAUCACAUUCACCCGGUGCUAUACCAGCUGCACUGGCUCCCGGUGGAGUACAGGAUCAGGUUUAAGGUGCUGGUUUUAACCUUUAAAGCCCUAUACGGCCUAGGACCCUCGUACCUACGGGACCGCCUCUCCUGGUAUGCCCCACAGAGAAAUUUGCGGUCUUCAAAUAAAAACAUCUUGAAGGUCCCAGGCCACAGAGAAGUUAGGCUGGCCUCAACUAGAGCCAGGGCUUUUUGGCCGUGGCUCCGAUCUGGUGGAACACUCUGUCACAAGAGACCAGGGCCCUGCGGGACUUGACAUCUUUCCGCAGGGCCUGCAAGACAGAGCUGUUCCACCAGGCCUUUGGCCAGGGCACAGCCUGACUCCCUCCCUCGGCAAUCUUCGCGGAGCUCUGGCCCAAUGGUUGCCAGUGGCUUGAAUUAAUUAAUUUUAUAAUGAAUGAUUUUAGAGUGUUGUUUGUGCUGUACUUUUGUACUGUUUUAUUGUUGUUAGCCGCCCUGAGCCCGGCUUCGGCUGGGGAGGGCGGGAUAUAAAUAAAAUUUAUUAUUAUUAUUAUUAUUAUUAUUAUUAUUAACCUAAGAUCUGGUUAACCUGCUAGAUAACUUGGCAAUCUGCCGGUUAUUUGGUCUGAUGCAGCAGAUCACCAGGACCACCUAGGCGGCCUGCAGGGGCUAACAAGAUUCCCUUACAGGAAGCCUUCAGGCAGGAACCAAGUGCAACAAGCCCCUCCCAGCUUGGGAUUCCCAGUGACUGACAUCCAGGUGCAUCUUGCCUCCAGCAGUGGAAGUGGAACAUAGCCAUUGUGGCUAGCGGCCACUCCAAACCAUGGGUAGGCAAACUAAGGCCCGGGGGCCGGAUCUGGUCCAAUAGCCUUCUAAAUCCAGCUCACGGAUGGUCCGGGAAUCAGCAUGUUUUUACAUGAGUAGAAUGUGUCCUUUUAUUUAAAAUGCAUCUCUGGGUUAUUUGUGGGGCCUGCCUGGUGUUUUUACAUGAGUAGAAUGUGUGUUUUUAUUUAAAAUGCAUCUCCGGGUUAUUUGUGGGGCCUGCCUGGUGUUUUUACAUGAGUAGAAUGUGUGUUUUUAUUUAAAAUGCAUCUCCGGGUUAUUUGUGGGGCCUGCCUGGUGUUUUUACAUGAGUAGAAUGUGUGUUUUUAUUUAAAAUGCAUCUCCGGGUUAUUUGUGGGGCCUGCCUGGUGUUUUUACAUGAGUAGAAUGUGUGUUUUUAUUUAAAAUGCAUCUCCGGGUUAUUUGUGGGGCCUGCCUGGUGUUUUUACAUGAGUAGAAUGUGUGUUUUUAUUUAAAAUGCAUCUCCGGGUUAUUUGUGGGGCCUGCCUGGUGUUUUUACAUGAGUAGAAUAUGUGUUUUUAUUUAAAAUGCAUCUCCGGGUUAUUUGUGGGGCAUAGGAAUUCAUUCAUUAUUAUUUUUUCAACAUAUAGUCUGGCCCACCACAAGGUCUGAGGGAUAGUGGACCAGCCUCCUGCUGAAAAAGUUUGCUGACCCCUCCUCCAAACUCUCUUUUAAAACCAUCCAAGUUGGUGGCUUCAGUCCCUCUCGCGGGAGCGAGUUUUAUGCGCUGUGCAAAGAAGUCCUUUCGUUCGUUUGUCUUCAAAUCAUCCCAACGCUCAGCUUCGUUGGGCGGCCUCGAGUUCAAAUGCUGAGAGAGACAGACAAAAGCUUCCCUCAACCCACUUUCUGCACCCCAUGCAAAAUCAUAUCCCCCCCCAUUUAAAUCUGCAGUUUUAUAUAUAAAUUACCAUAUACGAAUGUAAUGCAGAUGUGUGUGUGUCCCUUUUUGACUUUUGUUCCAUGACGCAUUUGCUCCUGCAUUUUGGGGGGUUGGACUAGAUGACCCCUGGGGUCCCUUCCAAAUCUACAAUUCUAUGCUUCCAUAGUAUUUCUAACAGUGGGUAAGUGGGUGCUAUUGACAUUAGCAGACCAUACAUUCAAAACACAUUUGUAAGCCUCUCAUUGCCAACAAAGGUCCGUAUAGUUAAAGCCAUGGUUUUCCCAGUAGUGAUGUAUGGAAGUGAGAGCUGGACCAUAAAGAAGGCUGAUCGCCGAAGAAUUGAUGCUUUUGAAUUAUGGUGCUGGAGGAGACUCUUGAGAGUCCCAUGGACUGCAAGAAGAUCAAACGCAUCCAUUCUGGAGGAAAUCAGCCCUGAGUGCUCACUGGAAGGACAGAUCGUGAAGCUAAGGCUCCAGGACUUUGGCCACCUCAUGAGAAGAGAAGACUCCUUGGAAAAGACCCUGAUGUUGGGAAAGAUUGAGGGCACAAGGAGAAGGGGACGACAGAGGACAAGAUGGUUGGACAGUGUUCUUGAAGCUAUGAACAUGUGUUUGACCAAACUGCAGGAGACAGUGGAAGACAGAAGUGCCUGGCGUGCUCUGGUCCAUGGGGUCACGAAGAGUCGGACACGACUAAACGACUAAACAACAACAAGCCUCUCAUAUGCUGUAAGCUGCCCAGAGCGGCUGGGAAAACCCAGCCAGAUGGGUGGGGGUAUAUCUAAUAAAAUUAUUAUUAUUAUUAUUAUUAUUAUUAUUAUUAUUAUUAUUUUCUCCUCUUCCUUCUUAACCCCCCCCCAAAAAAAAACACACACACACCAGUUAACUGUAGUUUGUGAAGGGGUGCUGUGAACCAUAGUUCUGCAAAGGGCAAAACUACAUCUCCCAAGAUUCUUGAGGGGGUGGGUUCCUUUAAAUGCAUUAUGUUUACACAGCCUUUGUGCCUGUUUUCAGUUACGAUGGAACAUUGCUCUGCAUCAAAAUCAGACAUAGCUGCUUUAGAGCUUAAUCCAAAAGGCAAGUCCGCCUUCUGCUCUGCGUUUUGCAUUAAGCUUUUGGAGAAGUCUGGCUGCAGUCGGUUUCCUUUUUCCUUGUGUCUCCUUUCGAUGCAAUUUCACAGCUUUCCCCGGGCCCUCGACCCACUGUUUAUGCAGUCUUGGCGGCUGCAUGUUCAGGCAACUGCCGGUAACCUUGGAGACUUGUCAAUGCGACGGGAGAGGAAGCUGGCUUCCCUCUCUGAAGCCCAGACAAGGGGCAGACAUUUGCCAUUAAAGGAGACCUUCCCGCAAUUUCUCUCUUAGUGUUCAGUAAAUGUUCCUGCCCUGCCAUUAGCAGAACACUCUCCAUCUUCUAAGCGGCUCUGUAUCUUCAUGUCAUUAAUUCACGUGGCAACCCUCUGUUGUUAAUCAGCUCCUAUCCCCCUUUUCCGUAAGCCUCUAAACUCAAAGGGAAACACAACAAAACCAAACAAAUGAAAGGAUUCAGCGAGCGAUUCAUAGCACAAGCUGUGUACACACCGUAUGUUUGAAGCACCCGAAAGAAUUCUGGGAACUUACCCCUCGCAGGGCUACAGUUCCUGGGAUUCUUAUGGGCAGUUGUGCGUUUUAAAUAUGCUUUAAAUGCAUGGAAAGAGCGCGAGAUCUUACCUCAUUCGCGCUUUCUGAAACGAGACAAAAGUCAAAACACAGCCACCUUUUUGAAAUUUGCACUUUUUGAAAUUUCGCGGUGCAGUUUCCCAGCAUAUAAUAUGCAUAUAAUGGGGGGGAAGCAUAUACAAAUGCAUAUAUUAGUGGAAAUAAUAUGAAGUAAGGCUCCAUGAUCACUGCAGAUGGUGACAGCAGUCACGAAAUUAAAAGACGCCUGCUCCUUUGGAGAAAAGCAAUGACAAACCUAGACAGCAUCUUGAAAAGCAGAGACAUCACCUUGCCAACAAAGGUCCAUACAGUUAAAGCCAUGGUUUUCCCAGUAGUGAUGUAUGGAAGUGAGAGCUGGACCAUAAAGAAGGCUGAUCGCCGAAGAAUUGAUGCUUUUGAAUUAUGGUGCUGGAGGAGACUCUUGAGAGUCCCAUGGACUGCAAGAAGAUCAAACGCAUCCAUUCUGGAGGAAAUCAGCCCUGAGUGCUCACUGGAAGGACAGAUCCUGAAGCUGAGGCUCCAAUACUUUGGCCACCUCAUGAGAAGAGAAGACUCCCUGGAAAAGACCCUGAUGUUGGGAAAGAUGGAGGGCACAAGGAGAAGGGGACGACAGAGGACGAGAUGGUGGGACAGUGUUCUCGAAGCUACCAGCAUGAGUUUGACCAAACUGAGGGAGGCAGUGGAAGACAGGAGUGCCUGGCGUGCUCUGGUCCAGGGGGUCACGAAGAGUCGGACACGACUAAACAACAAGAAUAUAAGAAAUAUAAGAGGAGCCCUCCUGGAUCAGGCCAGCGUGGGAUGGGACCCCAAAGCGGGCGGUGGAGACUGAAAAACAUCACAGUGAGGACUGUGAACACUCAGCCGCUGCAUAAUGCUGCCUGUUUAACUGUCAGGGUGCAAAUAGGAGACAGGAACUGGGUGGAUGGAAUGGAAUAGAAUGGCUAUAACCCCAAAUAUCUGCACUGUGCGCUGUGACAUUCUGUUGCAGUUCUCCAUGUGUUUUAGUAGUGCCCUGCUACAACAGCGGGGGUAGGCUCUGUUCCGUUUAAGGUACCGGGAGUCUCAACCUGGUGGCAUCUCUGGGGAAAGAGGACUAGAAAAGCCUUCCUUAGGUACCUCGGACAAGGCAGUAGGAUCACUGCGGUGCAAGACAGCUGUUUAAAUAUAUCCUAACUUAAAACACUCCCUGAGCGAAAAAAGGCAAGGAACUUGCCAAAAGUAACCAGACUCCUCGAGUAGGUUUGGCUGCUGCCAAAGGAAUAUUAUGCACACUUAUUUUUAAUAGGAAACCUGAGUCCAGAAAGGUUUGCUACAGAUCAGCCAAUCCCCUGGAGUGGACAGGGGCAGGCCUGUAACACCAAUUAAUGCCUCGGAAAGCUGGCAUUAAGCCCGUGCCAAUUAACACAGCUGCGCUUGUGUCCCUCGCUGAGCCUUCUGGAAAAUCUGCCCUCAGAGAGGCGUGGCGGAAGGGCCGUUCCCUUUGCUUUUCCGGCCAAAGUGGGUCUCAGAAAGAGAAGCAGUGUGGCCUAGGGGUUAGAGUGUUGUGGACGACGAGGUGGGAGAGACUGGGGUCCAGAUCUGACCCCAGGCUUAAAGCUCACUGGGUGACCAUGGACCGGUCACAGUCUCUCAGCCUAAUCCAUAGCAGAGCGCAGAUUUCCACACAGACUGAUUCCGAGCACAAUUCAGAGUGUUGGUGCUGACCUUUAAAGCCCUAAAAGGCCUCAGUCCAGUAUACCUGAAGGAGCGUCUCCACCCCCAUCGUUCAGCCCGGACACUGAGGUCCAGCGCCAAGGGCCUUCUGGCGGUUCCCUUGCUGAGAGACGCCAAGUUACAGGGAACCAGGCAGAGGGCCUUCUCGGUAGUGGCACCCGCCCUGUGGAACGCCCUCCCACCAGAUGUCAAAGAGAACAACAACCACCAGACUUUUAGAAGGCAUCUGAAGGCAGUCCUGUUUAGGGAAGCUUUUAAUGUUUAAUGCAUUAUGGUAUUUUAAUAUUUUGUUGGAAGCUGCCCAGAGUGGCUGGGGUAGCCCAGCCAGAUGGGCGGGGUAUAAAUAAUAAAUUAUUAUUAUUAUUAUUAUUAUUAUUGCUGGGAACCGGGGGAGGGGAGAGGGCUCUUGUGUUCGAAUCCUGCUUGCAGGCUUCCCACAGGCAUCUGAUUGGCCACUGUGAGAACAGGAUCUCUCCUGUUAAAAAAAAAGGCUCAGGGAGCAGACGGUUGGGAAGAUCCCUUGCCCCAAACCCUUGAGAGAUGCUGGCGUCUAGAGUAGGAUAUCCUACUACUCAUUCAAUGCAUCACCUUCCUAUCCUGAAUCUAGCAGCUGAGUUUGCUGACCUUGCAAUUAUGUAUAUUUUAAGGGCAGGAACGCAGGUCUUCCUAUUUGAUCUGAAAACACAAAACUGCUUUAAAAUUCCAUGAGCCCGGAGACAGGAUGUCCCCUAGCAGGGCCACAUGCAUUUUGUGAUUCUAACCAAGUGGUGGGAUUUGUUAAGAGGGCUUAGAGAUGCAGUGCUCUGAGAACUCUGCUCAACUGGCAUGCCUGUUUAUUUAACAGAUCUAUAUCCUAAUUCCUCCUGAACGUGAGCAACGAGGAGAGUCUUUUGACUAAGAAUAAUAAAAUCAUACAAUUGUAGCGUUGGAAGCUACACCCAAGGGUCAUCUAGUCCAACCCUAUGCAAUGCAGGAAUCUCAGCUAAAGUAUUCGUGGCAGAUGGCCACCCAACCUCUGCUUAAAAACCUGAAAGUAAGGAGCAAGAGAAAGCAAGCUUGCUCCCUCUUCCAUGGGGCAGCCCUUAAGAUAUUUGAAGGGGGCUAUCAUCUUCUCUCAGUCUCUUCCAGGCUAAACAUUCCCAGCUCCUUCAACCACUCCUCAUAAGGCUUGGUUUCCAGACACUUGAUAAUCUUGGUCGCCCUUGUGCUGGGCCUGGGGGUUAACCCGAGCAACGCGGUCCAGGUCCAGUCCUGAAUCCAAGGAUUCCGUGAGGAGUCAGUCCGACAGGGCCAAGGCAGGAUACAAGGCAGGAAACCAGGCUAGGUCAGGCACAGGGUCUCAGGCAGGUUCUAGCAAACAGCAAUAUUGUUCCCACAACCUGGGGUGGGGUCCAACAGCCUUUUAUCUUUGUCGGGGUAACGGCCGGUCCUGAUCCCCCAGCGACUCACCUCCCUGUCUUGCCCAAAGGUGAGCACUCCUCCUGCGAGUACUCAGGUCUCUCCUUCUCUCAGACCUGAGUCUCUGCAGCUCAGGAGAUGUCGGUGGGUUACUAGACCCAGAGGCCGCCUCAGCCUCCCCUGACCCAAGUGGUAGUGGAGCAGCUGUAAGUGAUGGCCCAGCUGGAGGCAACGAGGUCAUCCCCGCAUCUGGAGCCAGGGCAGGCUCAGGCCGCUGACUUGGCCCAGCUGGUGCUUGUUGCAGGAAAACCUGUGCAGACUGGGACUCUUCAGAAUCAGGCCCCAGACUUGGUUCAGAUGCUGCCUGAGGCAAAGGAUCCGGUGCGGACUGAAACUCCUCUGGUUCCGAGUUCGAGCCCAAGUCCCAGGUCAUCACAGCCCUUCUCUGAACGCCUUGCAGCUUGUCAACAUCCUUCUUAAAUUUUGGUGUCCAGAACUGGACACAGAACUCCAGGUGUGGUCUGAUCAAGGCAGAAUAGAGUGGUAUUAUUCCUUCCCUUGAUCUGGACACUAUACUUCCGUUGAUGCACUCUAGAAUAGCGCUAGCUUUUUUUGCUGCUGCAUCACACUGUGGACUGACGUUAAGCUUGUGGUCUACUAAGACCUCCCUAGAUCCUUUUCACAUGUACUGCUAGUAAGCCAGGUGUCCCCCAUCCUAUAUUUGUGCAUCUUGGUUCUUCCUGACUAAGUGCAGAACCUUGACAUUUGUCCCUGUUGACAUUCAUUUUGUUAGCUUGGGCCCAGUUCUCCAUUUAACAUUUUAUAUGCCGCCCUGUACCCUUAGAACAGCGUCCUCACUCCUCUCUCAUUGGCAUAUAGGAAGCCGCCUUAGACUGAGUCAGACCAUUCAUCCGUCUAGCUCAGUAUUGUCUACACCAGGGGUCAGCAAACUUUUUCAGCAGGGGGCCGGUCCACUGUCCCUCGGACCUUGUGGGGGGCUGCACUUUAUUUUUUGGGGGGAAAUAAUGAACGAAUUCCUAUGCCCCACAAAUAACCCAGAGAUGCAUUUUAAAUAAAAGGACACAUUCUACUAAUGUAAAAACACGCUGAUUCACAUACCAUCCAUAGGCUGGAUUUAGAAGGUGAUUGGGCUGGAUCCGGCCCCCAGGCCUUAGUUGGUCUACACUGACUGGCAGCAGCUCUUGGAGGCUUUGGGCAGGAGGCCAACCCCAGACCUAAGUGGAGAUGCUGAAGGCAGUAUGCAUGCAAAGCAAUUGCUAUGGCCCUUCCCUUAACAAUAAUAGUAAGAUUCCAGUCUUCACGCUUCUCGGUUUAAGUAGGGGCAAAAGAAAUUGCCUUACCCUGACGCAAACCAAUUGGUCCAUUUCGCUCAAGAUUGUCCACAAUGCCUGGAAGCAAUUUCCCAAAGAUUCAGACAAGAGAUUUUCCCAGUCCUUUCUGGAGAUAGGUAGGUAAAAAAGGGUAAAGGACCCCUGGAUUAUUAAGUCCAGUCAAAGGCGACUAUGGGGUUGCAGUGCUCAUCUCGCUUUCAGGCCGAGGGAGCCGGCGUUUGUCCGCAGACAGCUUUCCAGGUCAUGUGGCCAGCAGGACUAAACCACUUCUGGCACAACAGGACACUGUGAAACCAGAGUGCACAGAAACGCUGUUUACCUUCCCGCCACAGCGAUACCUAUUUAUCUACUUGGACUGAUGUGCUUUCGAACUGCUAGGUUGGCAGGAGCUGGGACCGAGCAACGGGAGCUCACCCCAUUGUGGGGAUUUGAACUGCCAACCUUCUGAUCGGCAAGCCCAAGAGACUCAGUGGUUUAGACCACAGCGCCACCCGCAUCCUCCCUGGAGAUAGCAUACCUGCGGGGUUGGUGUCCAGUGAAAUGCGGACAUGUUUAAGGGAGCAUGUUCAACGUAGGAAAGGCCACGCUAGUGCAAACAGGAACUGAGCAGGAAGAGCUCAGUUUUUGCUUUUGAGGGGAUAUUUACUGCAACCUUUCACAAGCCCCACAGGAAGUACUGGUGGGUGUAUUGUUGCUUACAGGUGCUGCCCAUUUUUGCAAACUUACAUCUGGCUGUUCUUUUUAUGCUGCUAUAGUUUUGGAAACCGAGCAAGCAACCAGAUUCUACGUCUUCAUCUCCGUGCAACGUCCUGUUGCUAUGGGGGCAGGGGUGGGGGGCUCAGACCACAGGAGAGGAAAACCCCUGGCCAAAAGUGGAUGAAAAAAGGUUUCACGGAUGGAUGUACAAAGCUCUGGCAAGGGUUGGGGAAUGCUAUGGAAGCAAUUAACCCAUGAACUAGCAGGAUAAAAUAGCUCCAAUAAGUGGUCCUCAUUGCGGUCAUUGUUUGGUGGUUGUGGGGAGACUUAAAAUCAGAGACUCCAAAGCAUAUGGAGAAGUGCCGUCCAGAGAAAACAGACUCCGGGGCAUCUGAUAGCUUGUUCAUGUGGUCUGGCACCUUAUCCUGUGGUUUAAACCUACAAAGAAACCACACCCUAUAUUAGAUGCCCCCCCCCCCAAUUUCUAUAUACUGUAAUCCAUAAAAUGUGGGAUGUUUGGGAUAUAUAAAUAUGCUUCCCUGAGUCUCAGCAGAGUCACCCACAGACAAACAAGCACCCGGUUAACGUUUGUAGCGGUGCUUGGAAUUGUCAUUUUACCCCCCUCCGAAAAGGGCCCAAUUCUAUUCCAGUUCAAUUCGCAAUUCAGUCAUGUGGUCCUUGGCAUCCUCCCCUUCCUCACAGCCAAAUCCUACACACUGCUCUGCUAAAGUAGAUACUUAAGAAGACAUAGGACUCAGCUAGAGUGGUAAAGAAAAAGCAACACUGAGGUCCAGCUCCGAGGGCCUUCUGGCGGUUCCAUCACUGCGAGAUGUGAGGUUACAGGGAACCAGGCAGAGGGCCUUCUCGGUAGUGGUGCCCUCCCAUCAGAUGUCAAGAAAAUAAACAACUAUCUGACUUUUAGAAGACAGCUGAAGGAAGUCCUGUGUAGGGAAGCUUUUAAUGUUUGAUGUUUUAUCGUGUUUUUAACAUUAACAACAACACGUUGUAUGUGCGAUAUAAUAUUGUGCCACCAGAAGGCGACGUGGGGUCCCAUUUUUCUCUACCUGCUUUCCCUGUUCAAAUUUACAACGCUUUAAACUGAAACACUUCUUUGAUGUGUCUGAAUCCAGCCUUAGAGGUGGUGAACUCCCCUUCCUUGGAGGUUUUUAAGCAGAGGUUGGAUGGUCAUCUGUCCUGGAUGCUUUAGCUGAGAUCCCAGCAUUGCAGGGGGUUGGACUACUAUACAGUUCUGUGAUUCCAUUACCUCCAGUGAAAGCACAUCACAUAGCAGGUCUUUGUUUAUUUUCUGACAAAUUUUUUAACCGACAUGCAUUAAUGUAACGCCAUGGUGGUGUACAGCAAUGGCGAUAAAAACAGAUGGUGUAAUUAUCAGAAGAUAAAAAAAAAAGUUCUGCGGAUUAGAUGUACCCCUUUAAAAAAAAAAGGAGAGCGUUGUGCGAGAAUUUUGCAGGCUGUUUGCCCGCCUCCCUCCCUCCAAUCAACUGUCUCAGAAAUGGCCUCGUACGAAACACAACGGUCAAAGACGUCAUGUGGAGUUUGGGAGCUCUCAAGGGGACUUGGAUUCAGUAAAGCAACAAAUGGUUUGAAUUAGAGAAAAUGUAUGCAAUCGUUUCACUGGGCCCAGAUACAAUCGCCCUCCGCUGUGGUUCAUGUUAUGCAUGGAAAGAAAGAAAGAAAGAAAGAAAGAAAGAAAGAAAGAAAGAAAGAAAGAAAGAAAUCUGCUUCUUUCCAAGAGCGGAGAAUUCCAAGCUACCCACCGAAAGGAGUAAGCAGCCAUGCUGAGCGCAAAUAUGCUUGCAAGAGGGGAAAAGAAAAGAGCAAAACAGGUCGGAAUCCUCGAAAAAAGAGAAGCCAGCAUGAUGCAGUAGACAGAAAACUGGCCUGCGCCCAGAGAGAGACGGAUUCAAAUUCCUGCUCCCAUGAUGCUCGCUGCAAGAACUUGGGGUGGUUAAGGACUCCACAACUUGAAAGUCAAUACACUAUAUGCACUUUUCUUUGUUUUUGCUUUACUUUGCUUUUUACACAAGAAAAUCUUUAAUGAAAACUAUGAAAAACACACACAGACAGGGUUGAGGAUAAUAUGUACCCUGCCCUAAAGUUCACGAAGGAAUGGCAGAAUCUGCACAUAUUAUUAUUACAGUAAGAUAAUAAUAAGGGACUCUGGUUCUGAAACGUGCACUUUUAUGUCAGGAUAAAUAUUAGUUCUUUCUCUUACAGAAUACUUUCCAGGACAGGGAAAACUAGUUGUUAUAUAUGUAAAAUGGAAGUUCUAGAGACACAAAGGCAUUGAUCCUCGGCGUGUUUACUUGGUAGUAUGCCCCAUGAUAAAAAAAAUAUAUCAAACACUGCAUUCUGGGCUGCAUCUGUUAUCAUCAUCAUUAUUAUUAUUCUUCUUUGGCGAUCCCUCGUAGCUGAGUAAGAUUGUCUUCCAUAAACACGGUUUUAACAACGAGUCCAUAAGUGACUGUGGAGGCCAAUUCUGGAUCCGCACGUCCUUCCACAGUGGGGACAUCGGUUUCCGGGUGGGAGUUGAUCACGGUGUGGAUUUGCGAAGCUUGCCUUCCUCUUAGCACGUUUCUCCCUUGCGUCCUGAGUUUGAGUGUCUUCAAAGCCCAUGACACCUUUGGUAAAGGCUGUUCUCCAACUGGAGCGCUCACAGGCCAGUGUUUCCCAGUUGUUAGUGUUUAUAAAUUUGUCUUGAGACAGUCUUUAAACCUCUUUUGUUGACCACCAACAUUACGCUUUCCAUUUUUAAGUUCGGAAUAGAGUAGUUGCUCUGGAAGACGAUCAUCAGGCAUCCACACAACAUGACCAGCAUAGCUGGAACGGAGCUUCUUGGCUGCUAGUGCAAAUUUAGCUACCUGGUGUGUAACAUACAGACGUUUAUCUGCAAGGAGUUCAACUGUUGCUCCUGUGCAGAUCGACCUGGAAGCCAAUUAAGAACUGGCAAUAUAAAUUGCCCUCUAGGCAUUGUAUACAGGAGGCAAAUCAGCAGAGAGAGUGUGAUGUCCUCUGCUUGAUUGCACCCAUGUAUACAUUUGCGUUCCGUAAGGGGAAUUCCCUGAUAUCUUCCCUCUAAAUAUGAAGAGGGCAUCCGUUGAAAUCUUAGUUCUACAAAGGCGCUGCGUUGUUGUGGGAAGGUCAGAGUCUCAAGGUAAUGGGGCCUUGAGUGAUGAGGCUUAAUUUGGGGGUGCCAAGGCGAGGAACAGGCAGCAAUGAAGGAUGCUCUGUCUUGGUUGACAUCCUGAUCAAAAAACCAAUUUCUAAAGUCACACAAGCUAAGGACUAAGUAGUUCUCCAUUUGGAAACUAUAAGCCCUAAGCCUAUCUUGGCAUUUUUGUGCCCAGCCUCCUUAGGUGCUCUAACCAGCAGAGCUUAGUAAGGGUAAGACCCUCAAAGGCAUUUAAUUUGUGCCAGUAUCUCAAAUAGGCUGGAUCAAUUCUGGCUGCUAGUGAGGGGAGGCCCAAAUUGGCUCUCAGGUAGGCUGCCGGUGUCCCACAGGGAAGGCUCAAAAUCUGCCCCACAAAUUCAUGUUGUAGGACCUCUAUUUCAGAUUUGACACCAACUCCCCAUAUCUCAGCCCCAUAGAGCAUUUGGACGAUGAUUUUAGAUAUGUCUAAAACGAUUAGAUGAUUAACUGGCUGCCCUUUGAAUGGAAGAACCUAUAUAGCUGCCCAGUAGAACAGCCAGGUAUUAGCUCAAUUGCUUCCAGAUGGGGUUUCCAUGAUAACUUCCCAUCAAUAAGUAAUCCUAGACAAUUAAUUCUGGGUACUUUCUCAAGGGUGUGACCAUCUACAGAGUCCACCUGGACUUGGUAGUCCUCUUGCCAAAUGCAGUGACCUUGGUUUUAACGUAGUUGAUUUUUAGAUGCUCUUUUUUUACACAGCUGUUCAAAUUUAACCAGCAUCCUUCUAAGUCCGAUUUUAUUAUGGGAGAACAAAACUAAGUUAUCAGCGUAGAGCAGAAUUGGCACUCUAUGAUUCCUGAGGGUGGGGGCGAAGAAGGAUGGGGAUGCCAUAUCAGGAAUGAGAUUGUUUAUAUAGUAAUUAAAUAGGAAGGGUGCCAAUAUACAUCCUUGCUUGACACCUCUGUUAACUGGAGUGCUUUGAAGGCCCAGUCUCACUUGCAUGAAAUCCCCCAAUGUAGUUGUUGGAUGAGCCAGAGAAGACUUUGAAAUAACAAUAAACCUGGAUCCUUUGGAAAGCCUUUGGCUGAAUUGAUGUUACCAUAUUUAGACUGCCGUCUGUCGUUUUCUGAGAAUGAAAUUGCUGGUAUCCUUAUGCAAUUAUACAAAUCUAUGGUGCAUUUGGAAUACUGUGUACGGUGCUGGUCACCUCACCUCCAAAAGGGCAUUGUAGAGCAGAGAAAGUUUCGGACAAGGGCAACGAAAAUGGUCAAUGGGAUGGGACAACUCCCCUGAGGGGAAAGGUUGUGGCGCUGGGGACUUUUGAGAGAAAAGGCGAGUAAGGCGAGACCACAGGAGGAGAGAGGGCUCUUGCGCUCAUGUUCUUCUUCCUGGUUUCCCACAGGCAUCUGGUUGGCCACUGUGAGAACAGGAUGCUGGACUAAGUGGGCCAUUGGCCUGAUCCUGUAGGCUGUUGUUGUUCUUGUUUAGUCGUGUCUGACUCUUCGUGACCCCAUGGACCAGAGCACGCCAGGCCCGCCUAUCUUCCACUGCCUCCCACAGUUUGGUCAAACUCAUGCUGGUAGCUUCAAGAACACUGUCCAACCAUCUCAACCUCGGUCGUCCCCUUCUCCUUGUGCCCUCCACCUUUCCCAACAUCAGGGUCUUUUCCAGGAGUCUUCUCUUCUCAUGAGGUGGCCAAAGUAUUGGAGCCUCAGCUUCAGGAUCUGUCCUUCCAGUGAGCACUCAGGGCUGAUUUCCUUAAGAAUGGAUAGGUUUGAUCUUCUUGCAGUCCAUGGGACUCUCAAGAGUCUCCUCCAGCACCAUAAUUCAAAAGCAUCCAUUCUUCGGCGAUCAGCCUUCUUUAUGGUUCUUCUUAUGUUCUUAAUAAACGGGGAGUCAGGAUCAGUUCACACUUCGGUGCAGCUACUGGGUUCUCUUUCUUUCUUUAUUGAAUUUGUAUCUCGACCUUCCUCUCAAGGAACCUGGGACUUUCUGCAAGCAAAACUGGCUGGUGGUCUAUCCCCUAAUUUGCUUAGAAGAGAUACGACACAUGAAGUCCAUUGGCACACCUCACAAAAGCAAGGCCUUCAAUUUAGGAAAGGUUAGUGGGGGGGAUCCCCGAGCAACAGAGGAUAUUUCUAAACCCACCCCCUGUGA